UUAUUAUGAGGCAGGAACAUAUGCUUUUAGGAAUUGCAACAAUAUCAAGUUCUCUCCCUAUGUGUUGAAAAUUUUGAAGUUGGACUUUUUGGCCUUCUUAUGCUAGUAGAUUCUUGCAGCAACAAAUUGUUUUUGUACAAUAUCAAUGUGCAUAGGAAAUGGGUUAGACUUAAAGGUGCUUGCCAUGAGAUUUAUGAUGCUCUCUUACAUGUUCCAAUUACUACUUUUUACGUGAGCAUUAUUGAAAUCAUCAUGCCUAGCUAAAAG
RNAcentral lists this long non-coding RNA (267 nucleotides) under Hordeum vulgare. RNAcentral describes it as "long non-coding RNA (HVUL_LNC004608)". Lineage: Eukaryota; Viridiplantae; Streptophyta; Magnoliopsida; Poales; Poaceae. The record is from RNAcentral.